AGUGAACGCUGGCGGCGUGCCUAAUACAUGCGAGUCGAACGAACAGACAAGGAGCUUUUUCCUUCAACGUUAGCGACGGACGGGUGGGUAACGCGUACGUCACCUACCUCUAUGACUGGGAUAACUUCGGGAAACCGCAUCCAAUACCAGAUAAUAUUUCCAACCGCAUGGUUCGGUAGUGCAAUAUGCCUUUGGUAUCACUUAUAGACGUACCUGAGCCGUAUUAUCUAGUUGGUAAGGUAACGCCUUACCAAGGCAACGAUACGUAGCCGACCUGAGAGGGUGAUCAGCCACACUGGAACUGAGACACGGUCCAGACUCCUACGGGAGGAAGCAGUAGGGAAUCUUCCGCAAUGGGCGCAAGCAUGACGGAGCAAUGCCGCGUGAGUGAAGAAGGUCUUCGGAUCGUAAAGCUCUGUUAUUAGGGAAGAACAACAGUGUAAGAAUCUGUGCAUGUCCUGACGGUACCCAAUCAGAAAGCCCCGGCUAACUACGUG
RNAcentral lists this ribosomal RNA (497 nucleotides) under uncultured bacterium. Its description in RNAcentral is "partial 16S ribosomal RNA". It matches the Rfam family "Bacterial small subunit ribosomal RNA", at positions 29 to 507 of the family's 1533-position model. The record is from RNAcentral.